Molecule: ribosomal RNA, 253 nt
Filed under: uncultured bacterium
Lineage: Bacteria
Description: partial 16S ribosomal RNA
Rfam family: Bacterial small subunit ribosomal RNA
Source: RNAcentral
UACGUAGGGGGCAAGCGUUGUCCGGAAUCAUUGGGCGGAAUGAGCGUGUAGGCGGCUUGGUAAGUCCGCUGUGAAAGUCCAGGGCUCAACCCUGGAAUGCCGGUGGAAACUGUCAAGCUUGAGUCCGGAAGAGGCGAGUGGAAUUCCUGGUGUAGCGGUGAAAUGCGCAGAUAUCAGGAGGAACACCAAUGGCGAAGGCAGCUCGCUGGGACGGUACUGACGCUGAGACGCGAAAGCGUGGGGAGCAAACAGG